GUGGGGAAUAUUGGACAAUGGGCGAAAGCCUGAUCCAGCCAUGCCGCGUGUGUGAAGAAGGUCUUCGGAUUGUAAAGCACUUUAAGUUGGGAGGAAGGGCAGUAAGUUAAUACCUUGCUGUUUUGACGUUACCGACAGAAUAAGCACCGGCUAACUUCGUGCCAGCAGCCGCGGUAAUACGAAGGGUGCAAGCGUUAAUCGGAAUUACUGGGCGUAAAGCGCGCGCAGGUGGUUUUGUAAGUUGGAGGUGAAAUCCCCGGGCUCAACCUGGGAACUGCCUCCAAAACUGCAUGACUAGAGUACGGUAGAGGGUAGUGGAAUUUCCUGUGUAGCGGUGAAAUGCGUAGAUAUAGGAAGGAACACCAGUGGCGAAGGCGACUACCUGGACUGAUACUGACACUGAGGUGCGAAAGCGUGGGGAGCAAACAGGAUUAGAUACCCGGGUAGUCC
Molecule: ribosomal RNA, 450 nt
Filed under: uncultured bacterium
Lineage: Bacteria
Description: partial 16S ribosomal RNA
Rfam family: Bacterial small subunit ribosomal RNA
Source: RNAcentral